Long non-coding RNA from Gossypium raimondii (Peruvian cotton), 1235 nucleotides. RefSeq lists it as uncharacterized. The record is from RefSeq and is a predicted model, not a curated record. NCBI's taxonomy places the organism in Eukaryota, Viridiplantae, Streptophyta, Magnoliopsida, Malvales, Malvaceae. The transcript is spliced from 10 exons.
UUUGAAGCGCGCCCACUUAUCAUCCUAAACCCUAACCCCGCCAAUAUCUCUCCUUCGGCUCUACCCUUUUAUCAAAACUGAGCGCCACUUUUUACCCUUUCUUCUUAUAACUCAAAACACCAAACCCCCCUUCGCAACUGCUCACUUUCGCCAGAGAAAAAAUGGACCAGUACCAGAAAGUGGAGAAGCCGAAGGCUGAGACGCUAAUAAACGAGAAUGAGCUGAGGAUUAUAGUUCAAGGGAGAAUGAGGAAUUACAUUUCUUACGCCAUGACUCUGCUUCAGGAGAAAGGUGCAAAUAAGAUUGUGCUUAAAGCUACAGGUAGAGCUAUAAACAAGACUGUCAUGAUUGCUGAAUUAAUUAUGGUCUAUGGGGCUUUACGCAUGACUGUGAAAAUAUUCUUGAUGUGGAAUUCCAAAAUGGUAAUAGAUGGUGGUGAAGACACAACUGUUGCAACUUCAUGGCUUGAGGCUAGUAAUUUAGUUGCUGUCCCCUGUGUAUGGUUGUUGCUUUCUUGAAGUAUUCACUAAUUUAAAAGAAUCAGGAAAGCCAUUUUCUGGAAGUUGUUUAUAUUUUAUGUGAAUUUGGGCGGUAGAGUAUACUUAUAGUUUACUUGUAAUUUAUGAUUUAUUAUACUUUAUAUGAGGAGCUUGAUGCUGGGGAUAUGGAGCGGACAAGAGAUGUGUACAGCUCUCUUUGAAGUUUAUUGACACCGAGCAAUUUCAAAGGCUCCGUGAGCUGAAACAACUUGCAAAUAUGCUAUAGAGAUUUGAAAUUAGAAAAUACCCUUUUAGAUGGAAGUCCUGCACCUCGUUUGAAAAUCUGCGAUUUCGGUUACUCUAAGUCAUCUCUGUUGCAUUCAAGACCCAAAUCAACAGUUGGAACUCCAGCAUAUAUAGCACCGGAAGUUCUGGCACGGCGAGAGUAUGAUGGAAAGGGUGAUUGAAAAUGAGUAUUUAGGUCUGAGAAAUGGCAUACUGGAUCAAUCAGCCAUACUGCUUUCAAGCCAUGGUUAUCUAACUUACAUGAACUGCAAAAUAUUGAAGGUGUAGUAGAGGAUUCAAUCUCUUCAAGCUGGAAAAGACAAGGCUUAGCACUUCUUCAAGUGGAGUGUUAUUUAAUGUUGCAUUCCAUGGUCGUUUAUCUUAGUCGGAACUUGAAUUUUUGUAGCUACCUUUUAUACUAGCCUCUUUAACCAUGAUUGUUAAUUAUUACGUGUUUUGUAGCUUCUUUUA